GACGAACGCUGGCGGCGUGCUUAACACAUGCAAGUCGAACGAAGAGCGAUGGAAGCUUGCUUCUAUCAAUCUUAGUGGCGAACGGGUGAGUAACGCGUAAUCAACCUGCCCUUCAGAGGGGGACAACAGUUGGAAACGACUGCUAAUACCGCAUACGAUCUAAUCUCGGCAUCGAGGAUAGAUGAAAGGUGGCCUCUAUUUAUAAGCUAUCACUGAAGGAGGGGAUUGCGUCUGAUUAGCUAGUUGGAGGGGUAACGGCCCACCAAGGCGAUGAUCAGUAGCCGGUCUGAGAGGAUGAACGGCCACAUUGGGACUGAGACACGGCCCAGACUCCUACGGGAGGCAGCAGUGGGGAAUCUUCCGCAAUGGACGAAAGUCUGACGGAGCAACGCCGCGUGAGUGAUGACGGCCUUCGGGUUGUAAAGCUCUGUUAAUCGGGACGAAAGGCCUUCUUGCGAAUAGUUAGAAG
This 469-nucleotide ribosomal RNA is filed under the name Veillonella dispar. Its description in RNAcentral is "bacterial SSU rRNA". It matches the Rfam family "Bacterial small subunit ribosomal RNA", at positions 28 to 474 of the family's 1533-position model. The record is from RNAcentral. Lineage: Bacteria; Bacillati; Bacillota; Negativicutes; Veillonellales; Veillonellaceae.